UGGGGAAUAUUGCGCAAUGGGCGGAAGCCUGACGCAGCGACGCCGCGUGGGGGAUGACGGCCUUCGGGUUGUAAACCUCUUUCAGCUCCGACGAAGCGAGAGUGACGGUAGGAGCAGAAGAAGCACCGGCCAACUACGUGCCAGCAGCCGCGGUAAUACGUAGGGUGCAAGCGUUGUCCGGAAUUAUUGGGCGUAAAGAGCUCGUAGGCGGUUCGUCACGUCGGCUGUGAAAUCCCGAGGCUCAACCUCGGGUCUGCAGUCGAUACGGGCGGACUUGAGUACUGCAGGGGAGACUGGAAUUCCUGGUGUAGCGGUGAAAUGCGCAGAUAUCAGGAGGAACACCGGUGGCGAAGGCGGGUCUCUGGGCAGUAACUGACGCUGAGGAGCGAAAGCGUGGGGAGCGAACAGGAUUAGAUACCCCCGUAGUCC
This 429-nucleotide ribosomal RNA is filed under the name uncultured bacterium. Its description in RNAcentral is "bacterial SSU rRNA". It matches the Rfam family "Bacterial small subunit ribosomal RNA", at positions 355 to 796 of the family's 1533-position model. The record is from RNAcentral.